AUACCCAUGGUUGGGGUGCCAUGGUGGGAUGGAGGGAUGCUAUCUGAAUACGUGGCUGCUGAUGAGAACACAAUCUGUGUAAAAGGAAAAAAAGGACCUUGGACAGAGCCUCAGGCAAGGAAAGGAAAGAGAAAGAAGACAAAGGGGAGAAAAACCUAAGAAAUUGCUUGUCCUAGAAGAUAAUGAAAGAAAGAAUAUUCAAAAUGGAAGGAAUGGCAAAGGUUACCAAAAGCUUCAAAGAAAUUGUAGAGCUGUGAUAUGUAUUAUCUACGCUAUCUAUAUUUUACUUGCACUUAACUGUAACUCCUAUUAGAACCUGAGCUCAUAAUGAGUAGGGAUUGCUUUUUACUCCUAGUACCCAUUGAAGUGCUCAGCAUACAGCAAGUGCUUAAUAAAUACUGGUUAGUUGAUUGAGUGAUUGAGCA
Molecule: long non-coding RNA, 425 nt
Filed under: Monodelphis domestica (gray short-tailed opossum)
Lineage: Eukaryota; Metazoa; Chordata; Mammalia; Didelphimorphia; Didelphidae
Description: lncRNA (ENSMODG00000048897.1)
Source: RNAcentral